Molecule: long non-coding RNA, 17616 nt
Filed under: Vitis vinifera (wine grape)
Lineage: Eukaryota; Viridiplantae; Streptophyta; Magnoliopsida; Vitales; Vitaceae
Description: long non-coding RNA (VVIN_LNC000991)
Source: RNAcentral
GCAAGUGUCCAAUGGUUUUUCCUGUGGCGGCGGAGAAACAGAGGGACAGUGCAACAUUUCCUGUUGGAAUGCAGUGCGGAGUGCUUCAUAGGCUGCGGUAGGAAGAUGAGUGAUGACAGUUCCGGAAUCUAUUAUAGUUCCAGGUGAUGCAAACAAUGAGCUAGAGACGUUCAAUCGCUUUUUGGCAACACUUAUACCAAUCAGUUCGACAAAAUACACUGACCCACUAGAUGGAUUCAAAAGCCGCGUAAAUUUCAGCGAGGGAGAUGCAGAAAUUGCUUUCUCCCCAAAUAACAAAGACCCUCUGGUGUUUUCAUUAUGUGGGAAACAGUAACUAAAUUUCUUUUUGAACUUUGAAGCUGUCUGAGAUAUCAAAGAAUAUUGUUCCCCUUGUGCAAGGCCUAGUACCCCAGAUGCUGAGCCAAAAUCUCCACCACCACUAUCUCCGCAACCAAAUUGAAACUUGGGGAAUACAUCGGGCUUCAAUGUAACCUCAUCACAUACGAAAACUCCUUUGGAAUAGGAGUUAUCUUCAUAGUUCAUGGUAUAGUUCGUCUUCGUAGAGGGGAUGCAGGAACGAUUAGAAUAAGAGGAUGAUAAGGAAGGGUUAAAAGUAGGGAUUUUCUUGUUGUGGCAAUUCCCUAAUGAACAUGAGUUGCACCGUAUCCAAGUUGUGUCACUGCCUGUGUCGAUUAUUAGAUUUAAAUUUUGUUGGGGCUUGCCAAAACCAACAUUGACAAGAAAAAAGCCAUCUUCAUUUAAAGAGUGCAUAGACUCUGGGGACCCGCCGUCUUUGGAUUCUUCCGUAGAAUAUUGGCCCAAGAUUCUGGCGUUAAUAGAGCGAACUCUGGACCGAUCUUGGAGAAAAAUUUGCUGACGACUGGGAGACUUCUUCUGGCCUAAUUGCGAGCAUGGUCCAUAACUAUAUGUUAUUGGUAGCCCUUGAGACCCUCCUGCAAGACCUACACACUGUCAGCAUAAGAACCUUCUCAAGUAGACUUUUCUUUUUCUUUUUUUCCCUUCAAAUUUCAUAGAAAUAGGUUGCAGGCUUAACCUACAAAUCUUCAUUUAAUUUGCAAGUAAAAUGAAAUUUCGCAUGCUUUGUCCGUUAAGAAAUAAUAAUCCAAGAAGAGAUGGAAUUGAAUAAAGAAGCAACAAGAUGGAGCCAAUCAAUUAAGAAAUUGUUUUAAAAGCUAUACAUACAUACAUACAUACAUACAUACAUACAUACAUAUAUAUAUAUAUAUAUAUGCACAUGGGAACACAAGAUUUUGUGGCUUAGAGACUUCACCUCCGACUGGUGCCGAGCAAUUGCUCUUAGGCAGCAGUGAAUUUAUAUCAAGGGUGUGAUAUCCGUCUCUGGCAUCUCCACAGACGGGUGUAUUGCCCACAUAACAUAAGAAAAACAGAAGAAGAAAAGAGAAGAGAAGAUGGUAGAUGGCAGUGGAAGGACAAAGAAUGGCCAUGGAUCUAACACACAAACUUUCAGUUGUUAUUGCUGAAUGUGUUAGCCUCAGUACUAACCAAUAUAUAUUACAUAAGAGUAUGGAAUAUGCUUAUAUUAUUCUCUUUGAGCCAUGGAAAAGUCUUUGCGUGUGGAACAUCCAAAGCCUUUGGACCAAGUCCCCUCCCAAGUUGCAUGAGUUGAUCACAUCUUGACCUGUUGACUCAUACUACUUUAGAAACCAUUUUUUUUUCCCUCAUUUUUGGUCAUUUCUUUCAAAAUUCAUGAGAUUUUUAAAGUUUUGAUGCAAACUUUUCCCUCAUCAACAUCUUCUUGGAGAGAAAAUGAAAGUACACUAUUUUAAUGAAUAUUAAUUCAAAUUAAGAGGUAAUUAUAACUGAAAAUUUUCACAUUUUUUAGAUAAAAUUUAGGAAGAAUAGGAAUUAAUAUUUAUGUUGAUGGAUCUCCAAACUUUUUCAUGAUUAGUUUUGGCCAAGUAGACUUAGUCAAUGGAUGGCUAAGCAGUUAUUCAAGUCAACCAAUUCUUUUGCCCUAAAAAGAAGGAAGAAGAAAGAGUGGAAUUGGAUUUUUUUUUUUUUUUGGAUUUUUUGAAAAGACAACUUUAAAUUGGAUUUUUUUCCAAAGUACCAUACGUUUAGAAAUAAUUUCAAAUGUGUCAUCUUUGAAUAAAUAUUUUUUAAAUCGACUAUAUUUUUUUUUCCAAAAUCCCAUAGAAAACCAUGGCUUUAAAGGAAAGUGGGAGGUAGCUUCAUCUAUAGACGAAGUUUGCUACCUAUUGCAACUUUUACUCGCAAUCAGUGUUGGGGUCAGAAAAUCAAGUAAAGGGUAGUAAAAAAAUUGUAAAUUAUAAAUUGUAAUAAACGUAGAUAAAUUUUUAUAAUUUAGAAAUAAUGUUUAUUAUUUAAUAAAAUAAAUAAUUAUUAACAUUAAAAGAAAAUAAAAUUUUAUAGUAUAUCAAAUUUAGAAAAAUACUAACAAAUAUUGACCACAAAAAUUAAAUUUUAUUAAUGAGAAUAUAUUCAAAAAAAAUUAAAAUAGUGAGUAUGGCUAGGAAAUUUUCAGUAUUUAAAUAAAAUAUAUUUCCAAACUUUUAGAAAAAUUAAAUAAUUUCACUGAUAAGUUUAAUUUUAGAUUUUCUUUAUAAAUAAUAAUAAAAUAUCAAUCAUGGAGUUUGAUAAAAAUUUUGUUUAAAAAUUAAAUGUAGCAGGGAAACCUAAAUAUGGCAAAAUACUUAAAAACUUAAAUAAUCAGUUGUAAAUAAACAAUUGUUUAAUUAAACAUAAAAUAAUACAUAUCAAAAUGAAACCCAAAAUAAUUCAACAUAAAGUAAAUUAAAUUUUAUCGACAAUUAAAUAAUAUAUAAUUUAAAUACUUACAUAGUCAUUUGUAAAUGAGUACUACUUGAUUAAACCCACCACUAAAAAAAUAUUUUAUCAAAUAUCAAAUACAAAACUACAAAAAAAUCAUUUUAUUAGAAUUUAUUAUACAAUAUACUAAAUAAAUUUUAUAUAAUAUUCUUAUAUAAGGAUUAAAUAAAAUUAAAAAUGAAAAUAAAAAAAUAUUUUAUAAAAAUUAUUUAGUAUCCAUACUCAUCUAAUUUUUUAUUUUAACUAUUUUCUUUCUUUCAAAGGAAAUUAUUUUCUUUGGAGGGAGGAAAAUUUUUAAAAUUCUUAAAUAAAUAAAAGGGAAUAAGCCCACUAAUUGUAUUUAUGCUCCUUUCAUUAAUUGAGUGUCUUAUGAAUUCAAACAUUAUAUGUGUAUUAAGCAUUUAAUAUUUGUAUAAUGAUUCAAAAAACUUACUUAAGGAUUUGAAUGUUCAAAAUGUUUAAUUUUUUUGCAUUUCAAACUUUGAGCAAAUGACUUCAUAUUUUGGAUUAUGAAUUUCUGCCAAAAAAACUGUCAAUAGGACAAGUGUGAAAUAGGAUUGAGUAUCGCAAUAUACAAGAAAAUCUUAAUAAAUAAAUAUUGGAUAAAUUAAUAAUAUUGCUUAAAUAAUAAAAUCUUCUAGUUUCAACUCGAGUUAGAAGACUAAAAUAACUUCAUUAAAAGCAUAAGAUAAUAACUUUUUUAAACUCUUAAAGACUCAAAAAAAAAAUAUAAAUUAAUAAUUAGUGAAGUCCAUAAAAAAUAGCAAAAAAAAAAAACUUGUAUACAAUAUUGAGUAAAUUUUUGCAACUUCUAUUUUUUUCAACUAAACUCUUUUUUGAGAUCAUGAUUAAAACCUUUUUUAUCUUCUAAGAUAUUAAAUUUUCACAUUAUGGGGUAUUUGGUAAAACUUAAUAACUUAAGUUGACUUUAAGUUAAAUUAUAAUUAAGUUAUCGACUUAAAACUUAUUACUUAAUUCUUACUUUAAGUAUUAAAGUUGUUUAAUAAAAUUAAUUUAAAACUUAUUUUAAAUCAUCAAAUUGACAUAUUUAUCAUCAUAAAUUAUAAUUAAGGCAAAAAAGGCUCAAUAGUAGUAGAGGUUGUGGCGUAGUAAAAAAGAUUAUGGAGAUAACUAUGACAAAUAUGGAUAAAAGGGUAAAAUAAGGAUGUGAACUUAAGAAUAAAUUACACCACUUUAAUAGUAAUAUAUAUUUAUUUCUACUUUUACUUGCAUUUACUCUCGUUUUACAACACGUUAUCAGCACGAAUUGCUCUGAAGGUAAUUCUCGUAUUUUAAACUUGAAGUUGUUUAUAUAGAAUAAAAUUUUACAUAUUUAUAUUACUAUUGAUUUUGUUCACUGUUAUAUAUUGUUAAAUUCAUUUAAUUUGUGUUAUAUAUUGUUAGAAACUAUAGGCAAAUUAUUUGAUUUUGAUUAUAAUCAAAAGUUAUACCAAUGCUAUCAACUUAUUAUAACUAAUUCGCAUAAUAUUGUUUUGUCAUAUAUAUGAAGUUAUUUGACAAUGUCGAAUCUCACAAAACUCGAAUUUGUGGCACUUGAAAUUUCAGGAAAGAACUAUCUAUCUUGGAUCCUUGAUGUUGAUAUACAUCUUGAUGCAAUGAAUCUUAGAGUUAUGAUCAAAGAAGGAAAUCAAGCAUCCCUAUAGGAUCGGGCAAAAGCACUGAUUUUCCUUCACCAUCAUCUUUAUGAAGGUUUAAAAAUGAGUAUCUUACGGUAAAGGACCCUUUUACUCUAUGGAGAAAUUUGAAAGAAAGAUAUGACCACCAGAAAACUGUAAUUCUCUCAAAAGCUCGAUAUGACUAGAUGCACUUAAGGUUGCAAGAUUUUAAAAUUGUUAGUGAAUAUAACUCCGUAUUAUUCAAAAUCAACUCUCAAGUGAAGUUGUGUGAAGAAAAAAUCACAAAAGAAGAUGAUUCAUCCCUAGCAGCGGCAGUGGCAAUGGCACCAUUUGAUUCGGGGUUCGAUCCCCGGCAGCGGCGUCAUUUGAUUCGUGCCCAAUUGGUGUCUCAGCUGAUUCAUGUCCAGCUGGUGCUCCUUGAUUGAGGGAGUAAUCAACAAAAUUUAUAACCUAUUACACCAUAUACUAGGGUAGCAAAGACAAAGCUACUAUAGCAUAGUGGCUCUAGGAUCGUUCACUGGGAUGGGUUUUCACUUCACAAAUGAUAUUAAUUCAAAGUUGAAUUGAUGCCUUUUCAUUUCAAGGUUAGCUUUAAAAGAAAACAUAAAGAUGCUUGAAUGAAAAAGGUUUAGAUUUAAACUAACCAAAAAUAGUAACUGAUUUUACUUACAAAGAAAAGUGUUUCUUGGAGUUUCAGAUCACUAGGUUCAGAUUCCUCAUACAAAAAGGGAGUUCCGGUCACUUGUUUCUUUUCCUCGCAUUGGAGAAUUAACAUAUAGUUCCUUCUCCAACCGGUGUUGUACAGAUGCUUCCCAUUAAUGGGUUCAAACACUAAAUCCCUCUCACUGAUGCAACUUGCAAUGGUUCAUGCCUCUCACCUAGCACUUGCCAUUCAAGGUGAUCUUUAACCUUGGAUUACCCGUCAAAAGCUCGCAAGAGAUAACUAAUGGAUGUCUCCUUGGAGUCCAAAAGCUUACCAAGUGUUGGCUAUUCUAGAAAAUCCUACCUUCAAACCACCUACCAAAGGCUCGCAAGGGGUAAACUAGUGAAUCUCCAUGGACGGAGAUCACUUGCCUUACCAAGUGUUGGCCCAGGUGAAUUAAAGGCGUUUUAAGUUAACUAAAAAGAUAAAAACCAUUAACGGGUCACACUUUCUCUUCAUUAAAAACUAAAACAACAAAACUUCCAAAUUAUGCAUGUGGAAACUUACCCGGCUUUCCUCACUCCAAGAGACAAAAAGCUUAGCCUCUCAUCCUCUGAGGAAAAAUCCUCAGAGUUUGGUUGGCUAGAAAAUGAAAAUGAAAGAGAGGACAAGAAUAUAUAUGAAAAACAGAGCAAGUGCUCUGUUCUUUGAUUCUAUAUAUUGGAUUACAUGAUUAUUUUACAGUGGAUGCAAGGGAAUAUAUAUAGAAAUGUUUUUCCAACCUUCCCAACUAAGAAAUCUUAUGGUUGGUGGAUUACAAGGAGAAGAAUGGAAAUUUAUACAAAAAUAUCUGAAGAAAAAUAUCCAAAAGAGUCGGUGGCAAAUAUCGGGAAGCAUUAAGGACCAUUUCGCAGGUGAUAAUGAGGUCUGCGAGAUUUCGUAGGCACUCAAGAAGGGCUGCGAAAUCAUUUCGCAACAAACGGCUCUUCUCGCAGGGCUGCGAAGUGGGCUUUCAUCUUGAGGUGCUCAGCUUCCAGCGUGGCACAUAUAUCGGGUAGCUUCAGGAGGAAUUCCAUAGCACUAUGCAAAAAGGCUGCGAAAUUCUCGCAACAAAAGGCUGAUUUCGCAACACUUUAGAGUGAUUGACUUGCAGUGGCUGUAACUUCUUCGUUUCAACUCCGAAUCGCGCACCGUUUGAAGCAUUGGAUUCUUGACUUCCUGAUCUUUGAAAUGGUAUAUAGAAUGUAGAAAAUGGACUUCGGGAAGUGCUCCAAAAGUGCAAAAGAAGACUGCAGCUGGCUUUCCUCUGUUUUCUUCACUCUGUUUUUCCUCUCUCCAGUGCUCUUUCCUUGCAUACUUUGAACGACUUUGGAAAAGGGCUAUGGAGCUCCAAAGCUUGGUUCUUCAUGAAUUUGAGCUUCCAAAAGCUUUGCCAUAACUUGUCCAAGUAGCUCCUCCAUCAAUUGGCAUGCUUGAAUUGAUUCAUAAGCUGAUAAAAACAUGUAAACUUGCCACAAAAUGGUUAAAACCAAUUACUAAGGACCUUAAUGAAUUAAUUGGGUUAAAUGAAUAUGAUUACUACUCAAAGGUGCUUAAAACCAUUAUAAUUAGGUCUACAAAAUAGCACUUUUUGAUAGUAAUCAGAAGACAUGUUAGAAAAAACUUUUACUACAUCUCACGUCUCAAAUAUGUUUCUACAAGAGCAAUAUCAAGAGCAUAGAUUUACAAAGUACUCUGAAUUAAUAUCAUGUCUUCUUGUUGCUAAACAAAAUAAUGAGCUUUUGGUGAGAAAUCAUCAAUCCCGUCCAACUGGAUCUAAACCAUUCCCUAAAGUGAAUGUAAUAUCAUCCCAAACUCGUGGAUGUGGAUGAGGAUAAGAACGUGGUCGUGGUUGUUGAAUGAAUCUCUGAUACCAUGGUUCUUAUGGCAAUAAUUCCUCAAAUUUUCAAGAAAAGAAAGUCUCAUUACACUACCAAAAGUGGAGUAAUACUCAAACAAAACAAGAAAAACGAAAAGUGUAUACAAGAUAAACCUCCCAAGAAUCAUGAGAAUAAUUGUUAUAGAUGUGGUAUGAAGAGGCAUUGGUUGUGUACCUGUCGUAAACCCAAACAUUUAGUUGACCUUUACCAAACAUUAGUAAAAGCAAAAGGAAAAAAAAUAGAGAUGAACUUUACCGAUGGUGAUGGAUUGGUCCUAACCUACUAUGACAUUGAUUUCUUUAAAGGUUCUAGUGAAAAAAUUGACCAUUUAACAAAUGAUGAAAAUAAUAACAUUGAUUAAUGUUACUUUAUAUAUCAAAUAAUAUAUUAUUAUGUCUUAUAUUUACAUUUGAUUAUUAUUUUUUUUUUAUAUAAUGUUAUUUACAUUAUGCCUUGUUUUUUUUUUAAUAUUAGUUAUAUCUAAAAUCCAUGUGUUAUUUGGUCUCAAGAUGAAUGAGGAUGAUGAAUGUCUCGCAUAUUGUGCAACCACGCACACAAUUCUUCAAGAUAAAAGAUACUUCCUCGAAUUGACAUUAAUAAAAGUUAAUGUAAGUAUCAUAUUUGGUACUACAAACUUGGUUGAAGGCUUUGAAAAAGCAAACAUAAUGCUACUAAAUGGAACUAGAUUCCAUAUAAAUGAUGCUUUAUAUUCUAGCAAAUCCAGAAGAAAUUUGCUCAAUUUUAAAGAUAUUCGUAGAAAUGGAUAUCAUAUUGAAACUAUGAAUGAAGUUAAUGUAAAAUAUCGAUAUUUUACAUUACUUCCAUUAUAUCCGACCAAAAGGUUAUAAUGGAAAAACUCUCAGCUUUCUCUUUUAAGUUGUAUAUAAUUAUCAAGCUUAUUGAAUCAUAUGUUGUCGUGAACCAAAAGUUCAACGACCUAAAAAUUUUUGUCCUUUGACAUGAUAGGCUAAGUCACCCAAGGUCUUCAAUGAUGCGUAAAUAAUCGAACACUCACAUGGGCAUCCACUAAAGAACUAGAAGAUUUUUUUGCCUAAUGAAUACUCAUGUGUUGCUUGCUCACAAAGUAAAUUGAUAGUCAAACCAUCUUUUACUAAAGUCAUACUUGAGUCACCAGUCUUUUUAGAAAGAAUACAUGGGAAUAUAUGUGAGUUUAUCCAUCCACCAUGUGGACCAUUUCGUUAUUUUAUGCUCUGAAUAGAUGCAUCUACUAGGUGGUCACAUGUUUGUCUCCUUUCUACACGUAAUAUUGUAUUUUCUAGGCUUCUUGCAUAAACGAUCAAAGCACAAUUCCAUAUUAUCCAAUUAAGACAAUACAUCUUGAUAAUGCAGGCAAAUUUACUUUUCAAACAUUCAUUGACUAGUGCAUGUCAGUAAGGAUAAAUAUUGAACAUCCUAUUGCUCAUACCCAUACCCAAAAUGGUUUAGCAUAAUCCUUUAUCAAACGUCUCCAAUUAAUAGCUCAAUCAUUACUAAUAAAAACCAAGUUACCUACUUCUACCUGGGGACAUGCUAUUAUGCAUGUUACAGCUUUAGUCUAUAUUUGACCUACAACUUACCAUGAAUACUCCCCUUCACAACUCAUACAUGGAAAACAACCAAAUAUCUUUCACUUACAAAUCUUUGGUUGUGCAAUAUAUGUACCAAUUGCACCUACACAACGCACUAAAAUGGGUCCCCAAUGAAGACUUGGGAUUUAUGUAGGUUUUGACUCUCCAUCUAUCAUAAGAUACUUGAACCUUUGACAGGCGAUGUUUUUACAGCCUGCUUUGUAGAUUGUCAUUUUAAUGAGAGUGUUUUCUCAUCAUUAGGGGGAAAAAAAGUUGAUUCCUAAAGAACGACGAGAAAUUACUUGGAACGCAUCUACUAUAUCCCAUCUUGAUCCUCGUACAAAUCAAUGUAAACUAGAAGUUCAAAGGAUCAUUCAUUUGCAAAAUCUUACAAAUCAAUUACUAGAUGCAUUCAUUAAUACAAAGAAAGUGACAAUGUCACAUAUCCCAGUUGCAAAUACUCCAACAUGAAUUGAUAUUCCUAUAAGACAAUUAACAAAUGAAUCUAAGAUACACCUUAAAUAUGGUAGAUCUUUCAGCUCAAAGGGUGUAACUCCUCAUAAGAGAAUAACACAAGAAAAAAUUGGCACUACAGAAGAGGUCAUCAAAAUGAUUGAUCAAUUUAAAAUUGAGAUAUCUAUAGCCCUAAAAAAAAGGCAUAAAUAAUGCAUAAAACCCCUGAAAAGGCACAUAUUGAACAAGAAACCCAUAAAGAGGCACAGGCACAUGAAAAUUGUGAGAUCUCAGUAAGUUAAGUACACACGAGAGAAAAAUGGGAUCAAAAUAAUAUUAUUAUUAACAAUAUUUUCACUUUCCAAGUGGCCUCUAAUAUCAUAAGAAAUGAUAAAAAUCCCGAACCACAAAAUGUGGAAGAAUGUCGACAUAGAAAUGAUUGAUCAAAAUGGAAAGAAGUUAUGCAAGCAGAGUUAAACUCAUUAACAAAAUAAGAAGUUUUUGGACCUGUAGUCCAAACACUUGAAGAUGUAAAGUUUGUUGGGUACAAAUGGGUAUUUAUAUGAAAGUGCAAUAAGAAUAAUGAGAUCAUAAGAUAUAAAGCAUAAUUAGUGGCAUAAGAUUUCUCGUAGAGACCUGAUAUUGACUACGAGGAAACAUAUUCUCCCGUCAUGGACGCAAUCACAUUUCAUUUCUUAAUUAGCUUGGCAAUCUCAAAAAGACUGGAUAUGCGUCUCAUGGAUGUUAUUACAGCAUAUUAUAUGAAUCCAUGGAAAAUGAUAUAUACAUGAAAGUCCCUGAAUGAUUUAAAUUGCCUAAAGAAAAUAGUACAAAGCCUCGUAACAUAUUCUCAAUCAAGUUACAACGAUCCUUGUAUAAAUUAAAGCAAUCCAAACGCAUGUGAUAUAAUCACCUUAGCGAAUACUAACUAAAAGAAGGGUAUUUAUAUGUCCAUGCAUCUUCACUAAGAAAUCAGAAACCGGAUUUGCAAUUAUUGCAGUGUAUGUUGAUGACUUAAAUCUUGUUGGAACUCUUGAAGAGCUCACAAGAACAACAAAUUCUUUGAAAAAGGAAUUUGAGAUGAAAGAUCUUAAAAAAAAAAAUUGUCUCAACCUACAAAUUGAGCAUUUUCCAAAUAAAGUUUUAGUACAUCAAUCAACAUACAUUAAGAAAAUUUUGAAGUAUUUUUAUAUGAAUAAAGUGCAUUCAUUAAGUUCUUCAAUGAUUGUCCAAUCACUUUACGUGGAAAAUGACUUAUUUCGUCAUUGCCAAAAAAAGUAAAGAAUUACUUGGUCCUGAAAUAUCAUAUCUUAAUGUUAUUGAUACACUUAUGUAUCUUGUCAAUUGUACAUGGCUAGACAUUGUUUUUUCUGUCAAUUUAUUAGCAAGAUACAGUUCCACUCCAACCUGAAGACAUUAGAAUGGUAUCAAGCAUAUAUUGCAUUAUCUUCGUGGAACUAUUGAUAUGGGUCUAUUUUACUUAAGGGAAUCAAAACUACAAUUGGUUGGAUAUGUAGAUGCAGGAUAUCUUUCAAAUCCAUAUAAAGUUAUAUCAUAAACAAGGUACGUGUUUAAUUGCAAUGGUACUACUAUUUCAUGGAGAUCUGUCAAACAAACAAUGGUGGCCACAUUAUUAAAUAAUUCAGAAAUAUUUGCAAUUCAUGAAACAAAUCAUGAAUGUAUAUGGUUAAGAUCCAUGAUUCAGCACAUUCGAGAAUCUUGUGGAUUCUCUUCUAUCAAAAGUAACCCAAUAAUAUUAUUUGAAGAUAAUAUUGCAUGCAUUGCACAAAUAAAAGAGGGUUAUAUUAAAAGAUAUAGAACUAAAUGCAUUUCGCCAAAAUUCUUUUAUACACAUGAACUCUAGAAAAGUUGUGAAAUUGAUGUGCAACAAAUACAUUCAAAUGAUAAUCUAGUAGAUUUAUUCACAAAGUCAUUGCUCACCUCAACAUUCAAGAAGUUAAUACACAAGAUUGGAAUGUGUCAACUAAAGGAAAUCCACAUGAGGGAGAGUAUGUUUGUAAAAGGGAGUUAGUGUACUGUACUAUUUUUCCCUUCGUCCAGGUUUUAUCCUAUUGGGUUUUACUGGCAAGGUUUUUAACGAGGCAGUCCUAAUAUACCAAAAGCGGUUUAAAGAAUUAUAAAAAUAUUGUACUAUUUUUGCUUCACUAGGUUUUUCCCAUAUGGUUUUUUACUAGCAAUGUUUUAAUGAGGCAUAUUCUUUAAAUGUGGUGGACAUCCAAAUGGGAGUGUUGUAAAUGUUGUGGUAAAUGACCACCACAUUAAUGUGGAAUUAAAAGGGUCAUUUAUAACUUCUAUUACUCAUCUUAAAUAUGAGUAAUGGCGGGUCAUUUGGAAAGUCUAUAAAAUGGUUUUUCAUCCCUUGUAAACAAGAAAGAAAUUAUCUCUUUCUCUCAUUCUCUCUGCCUUAUUCUCUCUUUCUCUCCUCCUUGUCUUUCGUACUCUCCACUCUCUUGAUUCUCUUGUAUGAUUCUCUCCUCCCCAUUAUAUAUAUACAAACAAAGUAAAAUAUUACAAAACACAUCCACACCAUUGUGUUAUUUCACAAAACUGACAUAUAUAUAAUACAAGCAUUGAAACUCAUCCACACACAUGUGAUAGCCAAUCACUUUCACGGAUAAAGUAGGUUUUUUUUUUCUUUUUUUGGAUUCAUGGUGUAUUAUGCAGAGUAUGGAACACAUACCCACUGUCACUAGCAAUUAAAAGACUUCAAAUCAGUGGUCUCCCCCAAGUGUAGAUAACAAGGGAAUUCAUACUACUAUUACAUUUUUUUUUUUCAAUUUAUUGGUCACUUUUCAAAAAUAAACAAGGAACUUAUUUUUUUAUUUUAUGAUUUUUUUUCAUAUGAGUAUACAUUUUUCCCAACAAAUUAUAUAUUUCAAUUAUUGACAUAGAAUCAAUUUCUGGAGAUAUUAUUAAAGUGAAGCAGUUUAAACAAAUACUGUGAAAUCCCGAUAUUCGCUUACUUUUCCAACAUCUUCUUCAUGGGUCUCCCCAGAGCCAAUAAAAAAAUUCAAACAGUUUUGUCUCCUUGUGAAUGUGGCCUUGGCUUGUUGGUGGAGAUAUUGGAAUUGUGACUGAAAAUAAAUAAUAUGGGAAAAAUGCUUAGUUCUAUUUAAUUUUCUAGAAGAACUUUUAGAUUCUCUGAUUUUUCUUACGUGGCUGAAACCGCACAGCCGAGGGGAGAGUCUGUUUCAAUCAGCCUUAUUGGGAAAGGCUAGAAAAAAAUCAAGUGGUACGUGGAGACGGCUUUGACGACUGUUCAUUGAAGCUUGAAAUAUAGCUCCACGUUUAGUCCUUUCCUCCCAUCUCUUGAAGCUCUAUGUCGUCUAAAAAAUGAGACUGUUUAUUGGUAUUGCAUACAUGUGGUGUAUGCCCUUGAUGUCCUUAUCAAUGGGCAAAAGACUUGGGUGAGUAGGAUUGAAAUUCCUUUAAGUGCCUCAUAUCAACUCGAAAAAGAAGAAUCAAUUUCUUAGUUUCUAUUAGAGUUUUCAUAUCUUAUAAAUUAUGUGCUUCAGUUAAAAACUUAUUGUAAGUUAUUUUUCAUAGUUAUAAUUAUAAUUUAUUUUUAAUAUUUAAAUUAUAUAUACAUAUAAAUGAACUUGUGCCCAAAUUCCAAGGCCUAGUGUCACAAGAUGCUUCAAAUGACCCUCCCCAUGGGCUUAUAUAGGAGGUGAGAAGCUUCUAGAGACCCUUGGAGACAUCCACACUUAGCCACUAGUGGGAAGAGUGUGGAAGGUUCUAGAAAUGCCUAGAGAAGUCCACACAACUCUACACUAUGGUAGAAGGCAUGAGAAGGGUCCAAAGCUUUCUAGAGAAAUCUAGAAGUCUCUUGUAUAUAGGUUUGUACAUAGAAUAGUCUAGGACAUUCUAGAAUAUUCUUGAUUUGUAAGGGAACCCUCCAAGGUUCUAGAGAGUUCCCUUGGUGCCUAUAAAUAGGUGAGGGCCUCAUUUGGCCAAGGCACCACCCAAAUCACUUCCUAACCAAGCAAGUGAGCAUCCAAGCACUUGUAAAGGCUUUCUUGAGAUAAUAAAGCUUCCAUUCUUUAAGGAGUUGCCUACUAAGCUCUUAAGCUUUCGAGUCGCGAGUGUCUUAGCCGAGCAAGCUAAGCAUUGGGGAUCAAGGCUGACUUAGCAAGAUCAAGCGUCUUGACUUGCCUAAGUGCCGCACGAGCUUAGUGAACGACUAAGUCCGUGACAAGUGGUAUCAGAGCGCGGUUACGAGGUAGGCAUAACAAAGGAAGCAUGUCGGGUUCCAACAUGGAGGAGACUAGUGAGCAAACCCGUGGGAGGGAGACCGAGCCUACUGCACGGGGCAGGGGCAGGAAGGAUAAAUCUCGUGAUGCCGUUGCCAACAUGGAGGCAAGGUUAGCCAAGGUGGAGCUAGCCAUGGCGGACACUCGGGAGGGGUUGGACUUGAUCGAGCAAGGCAUGGAGAAGGGCUUAGAGGAUCUAAGGGAGCAGAUCCAAGACCUUCGUGAGAGGGUGCUAGUCUCACAAGUUCAGCCAGUGUCGCAUGAGGAGUUUGUGUCCUUCCAAGGAAAGGUCUUGAGCAUGCUUGCUAGCAUGGAGUCAAGGAUAGAGGCCUUGGCCACUCGAAUGGAGUCCCGAGACCAGGAAGUUAGGCAGGAGUUGGCCAUCUACAAGGCUGCUGUGUCAGCACGGGUCAUGGCCACACAGGAGGCAUCUAGGGUGGAGGUGCCGAAGCCACAUAGGUUUAGUGGCAAGCGGGAUGCCAAGGAGUUGGAUAACUUCUUAUGGCAUAUGGAGCGAUACUUCGAAGCUAUCGCAUUGACGGAUGAGGCGACUAAGGUAAGAACUGCGACCCUCUACCUUACUGACACAGCUACUCUAUGGUGGCGUCGAAGGUUUGCCGAUAUGGAGAAAGGCAUUUGCACCAUAGAGACGUGGGAGGACUUCAGGAGGGAGAUCAAGAGGCAGUUCUACCCGGAGGACGUGGCUUACCUGGCUAGGAAAAACAUGCGGCGUCUUAAGCACACAGGCUCAAUACGCGACUAUGUCAAGGAAUUCUCUUCGCUCAUGCUUGAGAUUCCUAACAUGACUCAGGAGGAGUUGCUAUUCAACUUCAUGGAUAACCUGCAAGGGUGGGCCGAGCAGGAAUUAAGGCGUCGAGGUGUUCAAGACUUAGCCACUGCUAUGGCAAUAGCAGAAUCCUUAGCGGAUUAUAAGAGGGGAGACUCCUCCAAGAUUGAGUCUUUGGAGGAUAGCCACGCCAUGGGUGGGGGAGACGAGGUUCCAAGGGACCACAAUGCUCCUAAAAAGGGAUCAGGCAAGACGUCUAACGUCCGAGAAGGAAGGGAUAAGGCGGAAAGGAAAGAGUUUACGCCUAAAAUCAAAUGCUUCUUGUGUGACGGUCCACAUUGGGCACGGGAUUGUCCAAAGAGGAAGGCGCUCAGUGCCAUGAUCGAGGAGAGGGAGCAGGAGGACGAAGCACAUAUGGGCUCAAUGCAGCUACUAGGUGCCCUCCAAUUCAACCCGAAGCUUAGUACGCCUGAGACCUCCUUACUAGCAGGGGUGCAAGUAAAGGAGGAAAAAGGGGAGCGAGCUGAGGUAGCCCGCACACACAUGGGAGAGGUCACCAAGGGAAAGGUGAACUCAAUGGGUAAAAGGAAGCAGCACUCUAAGCAUCGAAAGCACACGGGUCUGCAUCCAUCUGGAGCCUCACGGGAGAAGGAGGUGAAGAAUAUCCUGGCUGAACGGGUCACCAGGAGACAAGGGGUCCCUCCUGUGAUAGAGUAUCUAGUCCGAUGGAAAGGACUACCCAAGAGGCAGGUAAGUUGGGAACAUGCGGAUGCCUUGAGAAAAUUCUGGAAACACAUCGAGAGGUUUCAGAAUGAGGCAACGACGAGGACGUCGACGGCAUCGGUGGGGGAGAGUGUCACAAGAUGCUUCAAAUGACCCUCCCCAUGGGCUUAUAUAGGAGGUGAGAAGCUUCUAGAGACCCUUGGAGACAUCCACACUUAGCCACUAGUGGGAAGAGUGUGGAAGGUUCUAGAAAUGCCUAGAGAAGUCCACACAACUCUACACUAUGGUAGAAGGCAUGAGAAGGGUCCAAAGCUUUCUAGAGAAAUCUAGAAGUCUCUUGUAUAUAGGUUUGUACAUAGAAUAGUCUAGGACAUUCUAGAAUAUUCUUGAUUUGUAAGGGAACCCUCCAAGGUUCUAGAGAGUUCCCUUGGUGCCUAUAAAUAGGUGAGGGCCUCAUUUGGCCAAGGCACCACCCAAAUCACUUCCUAACCAAGCAAGUGAGCAUCCAAGCACUUGUAAAGGCUUUCUUGAGAUAAUAAAGCUUCCAUUCUUUAAGGAGUUGCCUACUAAGCUCUUAAGCUUUCGAGUCGCGAGUGUCUUAGCCGAGCAAGCUAAGCAUUGGGGAUCAAGGCUGACUUAGCAAGAUCAAGCGUCUUGACUUGCCUAAGUGCCGCACGAGCUUAGUGAACGACUAAGUCCGUGACACUAGGCCCUAAUUCCCGACCUUAUGCCCAUAAGGCGAAGCUCUGGGCCUCAAAUAUGUGAGAGUGGACCACCCAACCCAGCCAAAUUCCUCUAAUUAAGUUAUAAACCCACUUGAGCCCAUACAAAGCCCAUACAUUUGGGCUCGGGCUUAAACCCCUAUUCAAGAUGUAUUCAAUCAAUUUUAUCUUUCCUUGCUCCUAUUCAAGAGCUAUACUACCUCGCAAUAGGGCUUCAAUUCUUAGGCUUCCACCCAAAGUCUUGUUUUAGUAUAUCAAGAAGAAAAAAAAAAGGUUCAAUUUUAAUAAUAAGCUAAAAGGCAAUAAAUCAUAUUGUAAGAGUUUGAGUUUGGAUGUGAAGCAAUUUAGACCAUGUCCUAGGAUAAUCAAAAAAAUGCCUAAGUGACCUAGGGUGUGUCUAAAUAUCCUAAAAGUGUACGAGCUAUCCUAAAAAUAAUAAUAACAAUAAAUUAAAAACAUCUAGAUCUAACUCAAGGCUAUCAAGGGUUAUAAUGAAGAUCUAAAUAAGUCCCUCAACGAAGGUUCUUUAAAGGUGGCUCAGAAAAAGAAACUAUAUAAGUGUCAUGAGCAAACAAGGGACGACUAUUGAGUUAAGAGAGAAGUACAAAAAGGCACCUAGUGUCACAUGUGCUAAGAGUACAAAAUGGAAAGUCUACACUAGAUGAGCUAAAAUUGUGUUAGAUAUGCAUGCAAUAGAUGAAUAUGGAAGUCCCAUUGGUGGAUGAGCCUAAAUCCUAUUGGAAAAUAGAUGUGUUGUGAAAUAUUAAUGUAGUCCCAAGGUAAAAAUAAAUGUAAUGAGGAGCAUCAUAAAAGGAUAUUGCCCAUUAUUUUUCAAAUGAAAUUAUUAAAGCCCUUAAACAUGAGAAGUGAUAUCAAAGUUGAGACAACAAUUCUAUCAAGCUUUUCACAAAAUAAAAAACCAUUUUAAUUUGUCACCUUUGCUCACACCCCUUGAAGGGCCCAUAGGUGUUGUACAUAGUUUAUGCUAUACUUGAACGGGGCCAUAGGAGUAAACUUAAUUAGCCAUCAUAAUUAUAACAUCCAAGGCAAUCACACCUAUUAUGAUAUUUUACAUUAAGUUUGAUAUAUUUGGUUUUCUCGUAGAAAUCAAGUUUUAUUUUUUCUUCUUUUUCUUUUUAAUUUGUCUUUUUCUUUCGUAUAUGCUACCAACUUUUGGUUAUCAUAAUAUAUACACCAUUCAACUCCUGCUAUAAUUCAUAUCAUCAGACUUUAGAGGGACAAUUUAGAUGAUCUAAUGAAAAAGCCAAUCAUUUUUCAUAAAAACUAUAUAUCAACAAUUAUUAGCUAGAGAAAACACAAAAAUAGUAUACUCAUAUCCAAAUCUCGAUAUUAUGCAAUCAGACAAUUGGAAUGGAUUAUGUUUUACAAACAAAAACUUUGUAACAUGUAGCAAUUCAAACAGUGAAACAGGUUACCCAAAGAAAUAAUGUCCAAGAAUUUAUAUAUUCUAUCCGAACCCUUGUUCAACAAAAACAAACUACAACCCAUGUAGAAAUAAGAAGGGAUUCCCCCUACUAUGUCAUACACAACUUUUAGAGACACUUGUUAUCUGUUUCCGAUAAUGGCUACAUGAGAAGGAUGGGAUUUUCCUGUGAAGGCCAAGCAAGCUUGAGUUCGGCCCUCAUAUACCCAAAGAAUUCCUGAUGGAUGCAAACUUACGUCCACUUCUCCCACAAAAUGUAGUGCUAUUUCCGGUAACGUUAUGUUUCUCCCCCCACAUCCCUCAAGAUUAUAGCAAGUGUCCAAUAGUUUUUCGGGCCGCGGCGGAGGAAUAGAGGGACAGUGCAACAUUUCCUGUUGGAAUGCAGUGCGGAGUGCUUCAUAGGCUGCGGUAGGAAGACGAGUGACGACAGGUCCGGAAUCUAGUAUGGUUCCAGGUGAUGCAAACAAUGAGCUAGAGACGUUCAACCGCUUUUUGGCAACACUUAUACCAAUCAGUUCAACAAAAUAAUACUUUGUUGACUCUAACCAUAACCCACUAGGUGGAUUCAAAAUCCGCGUAAAUUUCAGCAAGGGAGAUGCAGAAAUUGCUUUCUC